AACACCUGAGAUUAACAGCUCUAUACAUGGAUUGGUAGUCAAUCUGUAUCUUAAGCAAUCGCUAUCAAAAAUAAUACGAGCCCAGCAGCAGCAGCUCUAAAAUUUCUUCUUUCUACGAGAUUAAUCCUAUACAGAUCUGUGUACGUUUUUUAUUUUCCCUCUCUUUUUAUGGUUUCUGCUUUUUCCCCUUCUUUGAUUAAUUUUUUACUCUCAGAUUUUCCAUUUUCCAUUUUUCUUUCGGUUGGGCUCCUCAGCUUCUACUGCUAAACGGCCGCAAAUUUCUAUACUUUUUAUUCUCUAAUUUUCUUUCUAUGUGUUCUGAUUUUCUGUAACCCUAAGUUUCUUGUGUCUUUUUAUUUUAAACGUGUUUAUGAUAAUUUGUUAUGAUGUUCCUUUCUUUCUUUCUUUCUUUGAUUAUAUUCAGAUUGUUAGUAAUAGGGUAAUUACGAGGGUCAUAUAGUUUAUGUUGCUAUUGAAAGUUUGAAACUCAUCCUCCUACAACUUUGGCAGGUUCAUACUUUAUUUUCCUAUAUAAACAUGCUCUUAUCCUGUAAUAUUCAAAACUUGAGCGAAAUGCUCUCUAACCUUCAUUACUUCAACUUGGUUCUGCUAGACAUACUUCCCAAGUGUAUAUUAGUAUAUAAAGUUGCUGAAUUUUAGAUUAUCAACUUAAUAUCAACUGUUUUUAACUCAAAUUAAACCUUUUACCUAAUCUGGAAAUUUUCUGUACAGGAGAACUUGGGGAAUUUUGUUUCCAGUGGCUAUGUUUUUUCAUGUUUUGAUGGUGGAUUCAUGACUUAUGUCUAUUCUUAGAUUUGCUGUCACUAAUGUAAUUUCACAUUUGGAUAUUUAGCUGUAGCUAUUUUCCCAUUAGCAACUGCGAUGUGCAUUUGCAAUCUAACAUGUCCAUAGAUAUGUGCAUAUGCAACAGUUUCAGACAAGCUUUUGUAUGGAUAUGACAAAAGAUCUGGUAAUUUAACAUGAUGCCAUCACAAUCUUGUUGCAGAUAACAAUAGUUUCUUUUUUGUUAUAUUUAUUUUGACGUAGAGUAUAUAAAUGCUAAUUGCAUUUUCAGUGUAUAACCCUCCACCCCCAACCCCCACACACAAAAAUAAAUAAUUAAAAAUAAAAAAUAAAAAUAAAAAACUUCAACAUGAGAUGAGAAUAUAAGAAAAAUGUACUUUUUCAAGGGAAGGGGAAAAAAUAGUCAAAUACCGAUACAUGAAAGGAAAACUCUGGCCUCGCCUCACCUAACAUUAACAGCUCUCCACAUACCGACAUUUGUACAGUCAUUGUCACGUUUAGACUAUUUCAAACAUAUGAUCAUUUUUGUUUUUACACCCUUAAACACUUGUAUAGUCAUUUUAUCUCGUCUUGCAGGGGCAUCAGGCGUAUUCCACAUCUGAACCUCGGCUUCCUCAACUCUAUGUAUAAACCUUAAAACUACAAAAUGUACAGUUUCUGGUACAAGCAAUAUUGUUUAUUUUCAAUCAGCUCAUACCUGUCUAAAAGAUCAAGUACAGACAUAUCUCUGGACACGUGAAGGAAGAAAGAGAUGAAGCUCACACUAGCCUCAGUUAGCUGUACAAUCUUUCUUUCCUAUGCCACCUAAGCAGAGUGCAGAGACUGUGCGGCAAUUCUCCGUUCUGCAAACAAUUCAAGCCACUGACAAGUGAGCUAAUUGACAUGGAAGAAAUUAUAUGCUCUAUGGGUCAAACCACCAAGAGUACCUGGAAAGAAAUUGUUUUAGAUGCAUGUAUAGCAGAGAAGUUAUGAUCAUUAGCAUUCUUAGAGCCUUGAGACCAAGAGCUGCUUUUAAGAGCCAUGACAAAUUCUAGCUAACUUUUUACUCUAGACAGCCAAACAGUUUUGAGAUGCACAUUGCAGAAAAUAGGCUUUAUUUAAAUUCUCCAACGGCAUCCCCUUUUCCCAUUUUAUGUAUUAACCAUCCAAUGGGGGUUUAUCCCAACAUCAUUAUUUUGGACUACAUGCUAGCAUGUGCUAUGUAACAAUUGUUAAGGGUGGGAUAAUCCCCAAAUGCCCCCUUUCCAGUGGGAUCAAAGCUCAUCUCAAGUGCAUGCAUACAAAUAAGUCUCAGCAAAAUCAUUAACGAGAAAAAAUAGAAUACCCCCAGCAGCAACAAGUUUCUCUACACGAGCAACAAUAUGCUUUCCAUAAGUAUACUUCUUCAAUGCGUUUAAAUGAACUUUUAUUCGUGAAAGAAUCAACUCGCGUUGUUGGUCAUCACAAGUCUCGAGCACUUUUUGGACAACAUAGUUUGCAAAUUGAUCUUUCAUCAUUGCCUGAAGAGGCUCAUUUUCAUCAGUGGUUCCGAGCAUCUCAUUCACCAGUAACUCUCGUUCACUGGGGCCACCAAAAGCUAAACAUUUCUCCACGACAUUGGAGGCAAACUUCUGCUGACUCAUCUGAACUAUCUUCCCAGCCAACUCCUUAAUAAUAGCAGAUCGUUCAUGGGGUUUUCCAUGCUCCAAUACAUGCUGAACAACAUAGUUGCCAUAUUGAUCCUGUGCCAACAUGCUAACAGCUCCUAAAAUCUCAUCCAUGACUUUACUUUGUGUUUUUGGGUCCUUGCAGUGCUCCAAUAUUCUCUGUAUCACGCGGCACCCAUAUGGAUGGGUGGAGAGAGUCACAACUUGAUCAAAGAAUGUUGAGACAAUAAAUUGGAUAUUUUCUUCAGGCACACACUCAAUACACUUUUGGAUGACAUGGUUCCCAUUUUGGUCACGUACACAUCGUGUGACAUGACCAUCAAGUUCUUCGACCAUUUUAAUCUUCUGGUCUAGAUCAACAACCUCAAUGGCCUUCUGGAUCACUCGACAACCAUACAUUUGAAGGCUAAGUGUCAGGACAUGCCCAGUUAGUUGGUCAGCCAGUUCUCUUAUUUGGGAUGCAGAUCCAUGCUCAAAAAA
RNAcentral lists this unclassified non-coding RNA (2930 nucleotides) under Hevea brasiliensis (rubber tree). Lineage: Eukaryota; Viridiplantae; Streptophyta; Magnoliopsida; Malpighiales; Euphorbiaceae. The record is from RNAcentral.